UACAGAGGUCUCAAGCGUUGUUCGGAUUCAUUGGGCGUAAAGGGUGUGUAGGUGGCGCGCUAAGUCGGGUGUGAAAUUUCGGAGCUUAACUCCGAAACUGCAUUCGAUACUGGCGUGCUUGAGGACUGGAGAGGAGACUGGAAUUUACGGUGUAGCAGUGAAAUGCGUAGAGAUCGUAAGGAAGACCAGUGGCGAAGGCGGGUCUCUGGACAGUUCCUGACACUGAGACACGAAGGCCAGGGGAGCAAACGGG
Molecule: ribosomal RNA, 253 nt
Filed under: uncultured bacterium
Lineage: Bacteria
Description: partial 16S ribosomal RNA
Rfam family: Bacterial small subunit ribosomal RNA
Source: RNAcentral